UUAGUGGCGGACGGGUGAGUAACACGUGGAAAACCUGCCGUAUACUGGGGGAUAACACUUAGAAAUAGGUGCUAAUACCGCAUAAGCGCACAGCUUCGCAUGAAGCGGUGUGAAAAACUCUGGUGGUAUACGAUGGUUCCGCGUCUGAUUAGCUAGUUGGUGGGGUAAUGGCCUACCAAGGCAACGAUCAGUAGCCGGCCUGAGAGGGUGAACGGCCACAUUGGGACUGAGACACGGCCCAAACUCCUACGGGAGGCAGCAG
RNAcentral lists this ribosomal RNA (262 nucleotides) under uncultured bacterium. RNAcentral describes it as "partial 16S ribosomal RNA". It matches the Rfam family "Bacterial small subunit ribosomal RNA", at positions 92 to 354 of the family's 1533-position model. The record is from RNAcentral.